This 867-nucleotide long non-coding RNA is filed under the name Salmo salar (Atlantic salmon). Its description in RNAcentral is "lncRNA (ENSSSAG00000090018.1)". The record is from RNAcentral. Lineage: Eukaryota; Metazoa; Chordata; Actinopteri; Salmoniformes; Salmonidae.
GCAUUUGAUAGACUUCAAUAUUGGCUGUACUAGAGAAUUUAAAACCUUUUUGGAAAAUGAAAAACGAAACCUUCAGGGUUUCCAUUAGGAUGGAACGGAAAAUAUGGUGCUGUACAAUGUGACGGUCGGGAGUAGGCUACAGUACUAUGAGAAACCACGGGUUUGGAGCGAGUAGUCGUGCUGCACUUCGCUCCGCAGACUCAUCCUGCUGCUGAUGACGACGAUGACCUUGACACCAGCGUCAGUAGUACAGAGCCUGUAGACCCAUUGGAUGAAUGCUUUCAGACUGGAAUAAGCUCAAGCUCAACAUCAUCUGACUUUGAAACAAGCCAGGACAGCCAAAGGAGACUUGCAGUACAAAUCAAAGCAUUGGGAAGUGAAGAAAGUGUACGAGAGGCUUGUCCACCUGGCUGUGGAGUGCAGAAAGGACCAGACGGUUGUCUACAAGGAGCCUGAGUCACAGCUCCCCAAACCCAACAUCCCUUCCAACAUCGCCACAGCACCAAAGCCUGCGAAAACAGCUUCCAUUACGCAGCACAAGAAGAGGUUCACCAGUUGAAGAACAUUCUGGAACCUGCUUGGAACAUUCAACCAACACAACACCUUAUUCAGUUAAACUCUUGUUGUAGUAUAAUAUUGUAUGUUCAUUACUGCAUUGUGCUAUAUAUAUAUAGCUGUUGUACAUAUGUAUAUAAUGGUGUCGUAUGUGAUAUUUUGUACAAGUGUACUGACAAGUGACUAAAUGGAAUUCCAGCUGUAUCAGAAACCAAUAAAGUGUUGGAUCAAUUCAUUGUGAUCCCUUACGAAAAAAGAUUGCAGUCAGAAUGCAGUAUAACUGUGGUACACUGCAGUAUAACUGUAGUUAGA